UAUAGGUACUUCCCACACAAUAGAUCUUCAAUCUGCCCCUCCUCCUCCCCUCUUUCUCUUUUAAAAUUUAUUUGAAAGGUAGAGUUACAGAGAGAAGGGGAGAGGCAGAGAGCAAGAGAUCUUCCAUCUGCUGGUUCACUCCCCUAAAUGACCGCAGUUGCCAGGGUUGGGCCACGCUGAAGCCAAGAUCCAGAGCUUCUUCCAGGUCUUCCACAUGGGUGGCAGGGUCCCAAGGACUUGGGCCAUCUUUUGCUUCCUUCCCAGGCACAUUAGCAGGGAGUUGGAUUGAACAGGUGCGCAUACGGCAUGCACUGCUUAACCGGCUUUGCGAGAACUCUGGGCCCCUGUUCCCCUCUUCUCUUAUCUCCAUUGCACUACCCUAGAUCAGGAAUUGAUUACCUCCAGUCUAGAUUUUUACUGUUCUUUCCUAUUUGGUCUCAUCCUUAGUUCUUUCCCCUCGUUCCUUCUUGUUUUAUUGUCACAAACAUCUUCCCAAAGCAGUGGCCAGAUCAUGAGUGGUUCCACUAUUGAGGAACUACUCAAUCUGACAUUGGCCAAGUUUUGUAUCUCCAGCUCCCGUUUCUAGCCUUAGCUCUCACUACACCCUUACAUAUAUAGCAACCACUGGCUAUAAUUCCUACCACCUUUCUACAAAAGAACCAGCUCAUUCAGCCAUCCUCCUGCCUGUGGCAAAUGCCUCCCAUCCCACUACGAGCCCCGACAUCUGUUGAAAUCCUUGAAGACCUGUCUCAUAUUGCAGCUCCUACCUAGAGCCUUUCCUGAUUUUUCCAUACCACUGAAGUCCCGCCAUGCCUGUGUGUGCCUCCCCCAUGGCACUGAUAUGCUGGCUUGCAGUAUAUUUUGUGUAUUCAUUUUAUUCCCAUUACUAGGCAUUUCUGCUUGCAGAUCACUGUGUUUUCAUUAUGUUAGUGCCCCGUGCAGCAUCUAUCUUGCACCUCAUAAAAAUAGCCACUGGAUGAGCUGUACACCUUUAUGAUGUCUGAAAAUCAUUCAUGCCCCUACCUCUAAUAGUGACAUCGCUCAUCUUCAAAGAGGAUGCCUUUGCACCCUGGAAGAGGCAUACCUAAAGUCAAGCUUUUGAAGAGAAAUAGGCUAAUUACAUUUCUUUUCAUGUUAUUGUUGACUGAGAAUUCCUUCCAAAUGCUUCCCCUCCUUAGGGGACUUUUACAGCUCAGCUAUAGCUUGUUACCCUAGAUAGCAUGGGGGGGGGGACCAGAACUGGCAGGACCAGCAUACUACUUCUAGGAUCAAUGCACGAAAAAGGCCUUUUAAAAGGCAUUCAGAUUGUGACACCAAUCAAUAAAAUAGGCUUCUAUCUAAUAAAUGUUUAGAAAGUGUAUUUUUAGAGCUUGAACUCUUGCAAACCUAUGAUCCAAGAAUAGGAUUACAGAUACCGUGCCCUAGAAUAACUCCAUGUAUUUUUCCUGGAAGUACACUGAAUUUGAAGCAGUUGAUGAACAGGUAUGUAGUAUUUUAAGCAGUUAGUGUACCUUGCACAUAGGACCUUAUGAACAUUUAUUCAACCAACCCUAACGGAGGCUUGCUACUUUCCAAGUACUUAAGCUUGUCACUAAGGACACAGAGACAGAAAAGCUGUGGUCUUCCUUCACUCUCAGGAAGCACACAUGGUGAAAGUAUGACUUGGCAUUGGUAUGCCAUUCUGUGCCUUUCAGCGUGAUUCCAUGAUAUCUAAUCCUAACGACACACCACUAAAGUUGGUAUGAAUGGCCUCAUUUUGCAGAGUGGAAAACUUGCUCAGAGGGAUCGAAUGAAUUGCACAGAAGCAUAGAGCUAUGAAUUGGCAAGGCCUCAGACUGGUACCCAGAUUCCGGGGUCUCAAAAUGGAUUUGGUUGGAUUAGAAUGUAGCUUUUCUGAGAAAAGAGAUUUGGCCCAUCUUGUUCAUUAUUGUAUUCUGAGGACCUAGAAAAUUACCAGGAAUGUAGUAGGUUUUUAAUAAACAUGUCAGCAUUAGUCAGCAGUGUGUGUGUGUGUGUGUGUGUGUCUGACAGACAGGAAAAGAUAGAGAAGGAAAAGAGAGAGAGAGAAAAAAAAAAAACAGGGAAGAGAAUAUAAACCAGCCAUCUAAUUCAUUAGUCAUUUAUGUAUUUUAAUUAAUUGUGUGCUAAGCUGAUCUUAUCUAUAUUAGUGCUACUCAAAAUGUGUUCCACAGACUGGUGCUCAUCCACAAGUUGUUUAUUACCAGUUGACCUUGAGAUAAGUACAGAGAAUGAGAAUAAGCAUUUCGACUCUCCUUUGGCAACUUGCCAUGGCUGUGAUAGCUGAGGAAGUGAUUAGUGAACUUGUCUGGUUGAACCAGGCCAUAGACCAGCUGAGGUGCUGUCCAGCCUGGGCGGUGAGUCACACGGGGAUAAGCUGUCUACUAAUCUUGCAGCACCUAAUUUAAUCGUACCAUUUAGGCUGUCUACCACCCACCUUCUCCUCCUCCUGGACAUUCUUUACUACUUAACAUAGAGAACAAGCACUUUUGCCUUGGAAGCAAGAGUCAGUAACAGAUUUGAAAAUUUUAAAAAUAACUUCUUUACCACAGAGGUUCUAUCUCCAGCUCCUAUGAUGUAGAAGCAUUGCUGUGCAGUAAUUAAGUGUGUGGUCUAUGCAGGGAGACUCUAGAGGGUUAAGUGCAAGUUUCUGCUACUUAUCAACUGUGCAACUUUGGGCAGCUUCAGUUUCUUUAUCUGUAAUAUGGUCCUAAAAAUGUGCCGCAUUUCAUAGGGCUUUAGUAAAAAUGAAUAAUGUAUGUAAAGUGCUUUUCCUAGAUUUUGGCACAUAAUGACAAAACCCCGGGUUCUAGUCCUGGUUGGGGUGCUGGAUUCUGUCCCGGUUGCUCCUCUUCCAGUCCAGUUCUCUGCUGUGGCCAGGGAGUGCAGUGGAGAAUGGCCCAAGUGCUUGGGCCCUGCACCCGCAUGGGAAACCAGGAGGAAGCACCUGGCUCCGGGCUUUGGAUCAGCGCAGUGGGCCGGCUGUAGCGGCCAUUUGAGGGGUGAACCAAUGGAAAAGGAAGACCUUUCUCUCUGUCUCUCUCUCUGACUAACUCUGCCUGUCAAAAAAAAUAUUGUAACUAACAUUAUAUUUCAUUCUGCAUACAUGACAAUUCAUGCUAUUAACAAUAUUUUAAAUAUUGACAUAGAGGUAAUUCUACAAAUAUCCAGGCUCGUAAAUAGACAGUCACUUUUCAGUUACCCACUAACAAAGAUGAGCUCCUUCCAAAGUCCUUGGCAUUUGUUUUGUAAUGUGUUGUGUGAUCCGAGGGACAAUGCAUGGCUUCCAGGUGGUCAUUAAAAGCAGGUUCCACUUCUUCAGCUCAGUUGUCUAGGUGGUCAAAGAAGGCAGCUAGCAGGUGCACGUUUGCACUGCAGACAAUGACAUCAGAAUGAAGAGUACACACAGAUAAUCUAGAGUGGCUUGUUUGGUGAUUAGCCAUUGCCUACUUACAUGUUUCACACAGCAGACCUGAUAUGAGGGUCCAUUUCUGCCACACUCCAGCCAGCUCAUUCUUUGCCAUCACCUUCUGUGACCCUUGUCACGAGGAAGGAAGCAGCUCCUCAGCCAUGCAAGCUCUCCAGCUCCUAGAAAGAGUCAAGGAUUCCUGCAGCAAUGUUGGAUAAUGUUGAGUGUCAGGCAGACCACAGCGGACCACUGAGGAGAGCCCAGGGUAGGCAGGAGGCCUGAAGGUGCUGACAGGCAGCGAACCUGGAAGGAAAGAGCUUGCACUCAGCUGUGCUACCAGGGAGAAGACUGUCGUCAGACGCCCAGCCCUCAGUAAGUGGAAGGAAAAGGCAUCCAUGAGGGUUUGCCUUGCUUUGUGGAAGCCAAGUAACAUUAUUUACUCAGUUAGGAACUCAAGCCCUAUAACGUACACAUUAAGCAACCCCACUACCUUAAUCUAUAGCAGGCCUCUGCAGUUAGGAUUGUGAGAUUUGGAUGCUUGGUGCAAUUUGAAUUUCAGAUAAACAACAAAUGCCUUUUCAGUAUAAAUAUGUCCCAUGUAAUAGUUAGGAUUUGUUUAUCUGAGAUUCAGAUGUAACUGGGCGUCCUGUAUUUUAUGCAACAGUGCUUCGGGGGGCCAAACAAGUAGGCUCUGGAGUCACGCUCUGUGAGUCAUUUCGGAUCCUGUACCAGGCCCAGUGUCCCUGUGUGUAAAGUUAGGAUAACAUUUACCUCGCAAACUCGUGUGAAGAUUAAAUAAUACAUGUGAAAAUGAUCAAAAAGACAUGUAAAAUUUUAGAAUGGUAACUGACGCAGAUAGGAAAGAUGUUUAUUUACAAACCUAAUUACUUUUUAAAAAUUGACAUUAUGAUUCUGUUAAAAAUAUAGUUUUUUUCUUAUGUCCAUGAUAUUGUGCUUUCAAUUGUGUUUCCAAUAAACUAAACUGACCACAACUUUCAGACUUUCUAUCCAUGGAACAGGAAUAUACACAGCUACCGUCUUAGAGUGGCAUCAGGCUUCUUACUCCUUGCCUUGAUGAUUAAGAGUUAAACCCAAUUUGAAGAUGUCCUAAGCCUUAAAGUUUCAGAGAGAAAUUUGGGUAAACGUUUACAAAACAUCCCUUGAGUGUUUACUGGAUGGAAGACAAAAGCCAAAGAUGGUUCUAGAGUUGGGUUUUGUUAACAAGAAGUUUUAUUCUUUACAAUGGUAUUUGUUGUGACAGGAUUGCUGUACUCUGUAGAUGAUAGAAUUCAGGUUCUCUUUUUAAAAAAAAAAAAAGAUUUAUUUUAUUUAUCUGAAAGACAGAGUUACAGAAGGUGGGGGGAGGAGAGACAGAAAGAGAAAGAUCUUCCAUCCACUGGUUCACUCCCCAAAUGGCUGCAAUGGUCGGGACUGGGCCACGCUGAAGCCAGGAGCUGGGAGCUUCUUCUGGGUCUCUCAUGUGGGCGGCAGGGCCCAAGCACUUGGGCCAUCUUCUGCUACUCUCCCAGACACCCUAGCAGGGAGCUGGAUUGGAAGUGGAGCAGGCAGGGCACAAAUUCCCUUAAGGAAUACUGGUGUCUUCGCAGGCAGCGUUUUUACCAGCUAUACCCCCAUGCCAGCCCCUGCUUCUUCAUUUAUUAGAUGAGAAUACUAAUACCUGCUUUAAAGAGAAAGAGUGGAGUUUAAAAAAAAAAAAAACAACAAAGAAUAUGAAGAAAGAAAUUUGAGACAGUACAAGGGACAAUAAUUAUAGUAUUGGGUACCAAGUCAGCACUCCGUACAUGCUUGUUAAUAUGAAUCUGCUUAUUCCCCUCAGGGAAGACCGAAUGCCAGAGCAGCCUUAGAGGAAGAGGAAAGCCUGGGUUUGUGCCACUUUAUAUGGCUGAGCAAAAGCCCUUAACUCUGUCCACGUCUGCUUCUGCCUGAGAACUAGUAAUUUCCAAACAAUGAGACAUCCUAAGUGAAAUGCAAGGAACAGCUCUAUCCUCCUGACCUUCAGUGACUCGUAUGCCUGUGUGUGUGUGUGUGUGUGUGUGUGUGUGUGUGUGUGUCCAAAGGUGGGCUGAGGGGUGGGGAACAGUAGUGGGGUAGAGGAAAGACCAGGAAAGGAGCUGGAAAUGUCCUUUUCCUUUCACUAAUGAGUUAAGCCAGAUACCAAAUUUGUGUAGACAAUGCUAGUUCAGGUCCAGAAAGUGGAAAGCAUUCUCCCAGCAAAUUUACAAUAUUAAUUUUGAGCUGAAAGACCAAAUCGCAAACUCAAACCAGAUUCACAAAUUAUGACCUCAGUUUUUCCAGUUUCUGAUGAUUGGACUGGUUCUAGAUUAACCAGAGGUAGAAUGUGUUAAGGGGAUGGCUAAGAGAGAAAAAUAGAAUUCAUGAGAAUACUCCAACUCGGAGAAUGAAGUUUUCUGCAGUAGCAUUUGCUGCUAAUAACUGAGGCUCAAGCAAGGGAGUGUCAUGUUUUUUAAAGAGGAGCAAGGGGUGAGUCCUAGGGUUUUGCCGAGAAGGUUCCCGAGGGACUCAGCUUUGGUUGGAAGGACAUAAGGAGGGCCUAGUUUUUUGGGGGCAGUAUAGGGAUGGUGAGGUUAACCAGAGGAAUAGAGCUGGUGGUUGUAGAAUGUGCUAGAAGACUAUUUUGAAAGUCAAUGAAUUAACUUCAUAUAUCGAGUAUCAACCAUGUGUGCAACAGCUUCAUGUGUUCAAGGGUACCAGGACAUAUAAAGCAGAGCACUGGCUCCCUGUAUGUUCAGUUUAGGGGAAAAUAACCAGAGGUUUAAGAAACCUUGCAUGGCUAACAUUUGAGUGAAAACAAAACAAAAAAAAUAAAAUAAAUAAAAAGGGCUGAAUUCUAAAACAGAAGAGAAAUAGAAUUUGCUACCAAACAGGAGGGGUCAUGCCCCCCCAUCAUGAUAAUUAAUGAAGUGUCAGGUAUGCAGGGGGUGUGAUGAAAGACCCCUCUUGGGCUUUGAACUUGGCAAAGGGCAGAGGUGAAGCAUUUCUCAAGGGCUUCCCUUGCCUUCUGCACUGGGGGUGCAUGGGUGUGAAGGAAGAAAAGCCAGGGCAGGAGCCUCUCUCUCCACAGACAUCUGAAAGGAUGGUAAUCCUGCUGGGAGCUGGAAGCCUUCUCACCGCCCCGCUCUUCACCCCCUGAGCGCUAAUUGCCGAAUUGGACAGAUGAUCCCCAUUUCAGUCCAAGCAAGUAUCUCACUGAUGCUCAUUUGCUGACUCUAAUGAGUUCCAGAACCCAUUUGUGAUCUUAUAAUCAGCUCAGGUUUAUCACCGAAAGAAAGCCUGCGAGUCCCGUGCGUGCGGGAGGAAGACAGCAGCGAGACAUUGAAAUGAAAAUGAAUUCAAAUGAAUUCUUGGGGGGCUCAGAAAGGCCUCACCACACUCUAACACCACUGAACACAAAAAUAGUAGGUGUCGGACGUCCUGAGGAGCUGGCUCCAGGAUAGUACCUGUCUCUCCGACUGUGGGGAGUGUCCUUUUGUUCGCUCUUUGAAUUUCACAGCUUCCUCUACUCUGCCUAAAAAGGAAAACUCACUUCUUCGAGCUGUUACAAUAAAACUAUUGGCAGCCUGUAAAGUGAGAACAGAGCCUUGCCUUAAUUUACUGCACCACGCAGAUUUAUUACACAUCAGGGUAAUAAUAACAACACUGAUUGCUGCCUGAUAAUCUCCCUCCUUGCUCCGGUAGGGGUGUGGCGGAGGGGGCUUGCAGGCUCCCACAGACUCCCUGUACAGUGCUGAGUGCUGCUGGGCACACUCUGGCUCAGAGCCAGGAGAUGAUGCUGUACUACUGGGCCCUGCCGUGCCGGGAAGGGACACAGAGCUGGUGAGGAGAUGUGGUCUGAGAAUAGAAAACCCUGGAAACCAUUUGCCAGGCCUUUGAGACCAGUGCUCCCGCAGUGGCUCAUUGCCAGGGGGAUAAGCAUGCCCCAGCAGCCUGCUUUCCAAAAAAAUGUCCCCUGAAAUAGGAUGACGAGAACCCAGUUUUUGAGCCAGACAAGUGAGGGCGUCCUUUAGGGAAUCUGGGACUCUGAAAGUUAAAUAUAUUCAGGGAGAGUUUCUGUGGAACAACCCACCAAACCCAGAGUUGAAGGCAGUCACCCUGCAGACCCAGGGUCUCCCUGGGAGCCAGCCUGGCCCCUGGCCCGUGUCUCUGUCUUUCCAUCGCGGCUUUUGAGUCCUGGGGAGCCUGGGAUGCUGUCCCCAGGCACUCGGGCACUCAGCCUGUGCAUGCUGAUGGCCGUGACAUCCUCACAGGACAGGGUGCAUCAGGGGUGCUCUCCUACUGCUCAGCUCAUCCUGGAAGCCUCUCAUUAGAGUUUCUAAUUUUCAAGAUAAUGGGAGCUUAAUGGGGAUUAUUUUGAUUUUCUCUUACCAGCCAGCACUUUUAUAUCCGAAGCCCUGCUGCCCCCAGCUGCACUGCCUGAACAAAUUGCAUCCUGAGCGAGAGAAAGCUGUGGCCCAGGGAAUUGCUGAUGUGACCUCAGAAAAGCACUGCUCUGAUCCUCCUGCCCAGAAAGAAACAUUUUAAACAGAUCCUCAGCGGACCAAUCAGUGAGUGACAAGCAUUUGAGGGACUCAGCCGACUGCUGCUCCUUCCGUGUCAUGUGUCGUGAAAAUGCGCAAGGGGACAGGCAUUGGCUUAGCUGUGGAGAAACCAAGGAGGAGGCCCCCGACCCGUACCUGAGCCCCUGGGUUCAACACCUGGCUUCUGACUCUGGCUUCGUGGUGAUGCGGACUCUGGAGAGCGGCAGCGAGGGCUCAGCCCAAGUGUGAACAUCCUGCCAUCGGGAAUUCCAUUUCAAGUAGCACUAGAGAGUGUUGACGCCUCCCUCUGGCCCCAAAGUACUUGAACAUUGAGAAGGUGAGAAGGAGAGACAGGCUUGAGUCCUUCAAGAAACAGUUGGCCAACUUCAAAGCAUGCCUGUGUCACCGCCAGCGCCCGGGGGGUGCGGACAGUGUGCAGAGACUUGGCCCACGAGCCCUGCUGAUGUGGAGAUAGGGCGGCUUCAGUGCAGAGCACUGCUCGGCUCCGUGCUGCCUUCCUCGGGCUGGAGGUGCUGACUUUGCGGAUGGAGUCACCGCCGCAGCCACAAGGCCCCUUCUCGCUCACCCACUUCCUCCUGUUCACGCUGCUUCUCAGAAGAGCAGCCAAGGCUGACUCCAGCCCACUUUGCAUCUCUUACAACGGAGGUUUGGGACAGCACAUCACGAAUGAUCUUUGUAAGUGUGUUCCUCUCGUGCUCCUGGGGCUGUGCAGAGGAGCAAAUAAAUGUCUACGUGUCUUAAGUGAUCUGAAACAACGCUCCUCGGAGCGUGCAGCAGGAGGCAAAGACAACCCUUGGGUUCAAGAGGGGCAGGAUCUCACAGAGUUGCAGUCCAGCAAAUUUUACUUGCAUUUGUUAAAAAAGAGAAGGAAAUAAAACAACAACAAAAAGCUAGUUACAACCCACCUUGUUGGCAUGAUAGGAAGAACAGACUAAAAGAUAUUCACUACUUUUAAAAUUGUAUUCAUUUAUUUAUUUUUGUUUAUGUGAAAGGCAGAGAGAGAGAGAGAGAGAGAGGGAGAGAGAGUGAUCAUCCUCUUUCACUCCCCAAAUGCUGAAGCAAGAAGCCUGGAACUUCAUAUAGGAGUUCUGUAUGGGUGGUAGGGACCCAAGUACUUGAGCCAUCACCUGCUGCCUCUUAGAGUAUGCAUUAGCAGGAAGCAGGAAUCUGCAGCCCAGAGUCAGGACUAGAACCCAGGUACUCCAAUAUGGAAUGUGCACGUGCCUGGUGGUGCCUUAACUGCUGCACCAGCAACCGCCCCCGUUUACCUCUUUUUAAACUGCCGUCCUGAGCGUCUCAGCUGGGAGCAGUGGCUUUGUAUUUCAGCACAGCUGUUGAUGCCCAAAUUGGAAGGAGAAAGGAAGAAAGUGUUUUGCAAAGGAAAAAAAAAUUAAACAAUUGUUACCUAAUCCUUUCUACCUUGACAAAAAUGAAAGGCUAACUUAGAAACUAAAGAAAUAUUCUGUUGAAACUUUACUGCACAACAUGAACUCAUUACAAGCUGCCUCAGCUCUCCGUCCUCUGGGAAUCUUUCAACUCAGAGUACACAAAAAAUGGGAAGAAAUUAAGUUGCUGCACCAUUUGAUACAUGUGCCUUGCCCACUGAGCAGCCCAACUCUGGGUCUUAGCAGGAAUGGGAGGAAGAGGCAGAGGGAACCGACGUUUAUUAAGUGCCAACUCUGUGUUCAAGAAUUGCAUUGAAUCCUCCCCUACGAGACCCUACUAGAUGAAAGGCACAGAGAGGUUAAGAAACUUGCCCAAGAUUACACAGGAAGGAGGUUGUAAAAGUGGGAUUUGAACUUCAAACCUGGAUGCCUACCAAUGACCUUUUCUGUUACCCGCCAUCAAGGAAGCUUGCCUGAAGCAUGCCAUCGCAUAAUUAUCUCCUGUUGUGUUCUCAACUGGAAAUCUUAAGCUUUUAAGAUCCCCAAACUGGUGAGCACACACUAGAGGCUCGAGACGCAUUCAUUGACAGACUCCAGCGAGCCUUCAGAUCUGGGGUUCCCAUCCCAGCGGUUCUCCCCUGCCGAGCGAGGCUGGUCCUUGGCCACAGCAUCAGAUGUUCUAGAUGGCUUCACGCUGAUAACCAGUCUUAUUGUGAAUACUACAAGAAGUGGAAACUGAUUCUACACACUCCCUGACCUCUCUCGAUUUGGGCCUUGGGCCAUCUCAACUCAGACUGUGUAUUCUGAGAAAUACAUCUAUGCAAGGGGAAUUGAUCAUGAGUCAUCCUUAACUCCAGCCUACGCAUUUGGCCCAGAUACUUUUCAUUCAUUCGACAGACUUUCUUGGCCAUCUAUAUUGGAGGCUGCAUGUGCUCCCAGGUUCAUGUGUUGGAACCCAGUCCCUGCUGUGAUGGUAAUUGGAGGUAGAAUCCUGAUGAACAGGACCAGUGUCCCUAUAGGAGAGACCCCAGGGGUGAUCGUUUGGCCUAAUGGUUAAGACGUUGAUUAAGAUGCCUCCUGGAUUCGACGCCCUGUUCUGGCUCCUGACUUCUGCUAGUGCAGACCCCGGGAGGCAGUAGUGAUGGCUCAGAUGAUCGGGUUCAUGCCAUCCACAGUGGGUUGAGUUCUUGGCUUCUGGCUCUGGCCCCUGCCCAGUCCUAGCCAUUGUGGGAAUUUGGGGAGUAAGCCAGUGGCUAAGAGCUCUCUUCUCCACCCCCUCACCCUCCCCUCCCCUGCACAUAGCCAUUUCUCAAAUACAUAGUUUUUUUUUGUUGUUGUUAAAGAUAAAAGAGACCCCAGAGAGCUCCCUUUCCCCUUCUGCCACACAAGGACACAGGGAGAAGGCUGCUGUCCGUGGACCAGGAAGCUGGUCUUCAACAGACACUGAGUUCCCCAACACCUUGACCUUGACCUUUCUAGCCUCCAGAGCUGCAACAAGAGAUUGGAAAUGCUGCACUGAAGAUGGGAUUCUUCGGUCAUGUUUGACAGGGAGACGCACAGCAAGAAGGCUGGUUACAUUCUUCAAUACCCUCGAACUGGGAAUCCAUGAGUCUUGUAGCUCAAGAGAGGCUAGAUUCCCCCAAGGAGGCUGCAGUGACAGCUCCCACUGACCGUCCUGCACAUUCCUCCUGAAACCUUCAUGCCACUGAUCCACACAUUGCUCCCUGCUGAUGCCCCUGGGAAGCAGUAGAAGAUGCCCCAAGUCCUUGAGCCCCUGCCAUCCACAUGGGAGACCUUGAUGGAGUUCCUGGAUCCUGGCUUUGGUGGGGCCCAGCCCUGGCUUUUGUGACCAUUUGGGGAGUGACUCAGUGAACCAGCAGAUAGAAGAUCUCCCUCUCCCUCUCCCUCCCUCCUUCCCUCCCUGUCUCUCUUUCCCAAUUGUUCUGCCUUUCAA
This is a non-coding RNA of Oryctolagus cuniculus (rabbit), 11343 nucleotides long. The record is from RefSeq and is a predicted model, not a curated record. Lineage: Eukaryota; Metazoa; Chordata; Mammalia; Lagomorpha; Leporidae.